AUUCUUUCGCAGUAUCUUAGCUUAUGAGGUCUAUCCGAGGCAAGAUUUUUGCUAGUUGAAAACUUUACCCAGUUCCCGUCUAUAUGAUUUGAAAUAUAAAAUAACCAGUCCCUGUGGAGA
This is a small nuclear RNA of 120 nucleotides. Its record names the gene U4. It matches the Rfam family "U4 spliceosomal RNA". Rfam says of the family: U4 small nuclear RNA (U4 snRNA) is a component of the major U2-dependent spliceosome. The structure of U4 snRNA from yeast and human has been reported. The record is from Ensembl.